AUACAAUCAGUACUAAAUUUGGAGGGUGUUUUCAUCAGUUAUUCAAACUUUUCUUUUUUUCAUUUCUUUUUAAUGUUUUAACUUGUUUUGCAAGCCUUGACUACGCCAACUUUGAAGACCUAGGUACAUCUGCUCGUAGAUGAAAAGUUAUAUAAAGGAGGAGGCCGGUGUGGAUUCCUGAUCUGCCUCCCAUUAACAUAACUCAGGAUGGCUCUCAGAUUUUCUACUACCGUUGUCAUGUUUUGUUUCAUUGCGUUUCUCAUCCUUGCUAACCAUAUUGUUUCCCCUCGACAGCUGAUUUCUAGUCCUAAGGUGGCUAGGGGUUUUGUCGAGGGAACCCCGUCCCCUAUAACUCACCCUUGCACAGCGCAGGGAUGCUUCCCUCCUCAUUGAGACGCGAAAAUCCGUACGAGGUGCUAGCAAAGCAAUUACCUUGUAUCCAUAUGCUUCCAUACAUUGAAAUUCUAAUUUUUUGGAGGAAGCGUUUAUCAUAUAUAUAUAUAUAUUGAUAUUCCCAUUAUAUCUGUCUCUAGUUUAGCAUGCAUCGUUUAUAUAUAUAUGUUGUCUUCAAAUACAAGAGAAGGCCCAUUUCAUCAUGAGGUCGAUGCCUCCCAAGUGUCAAGCAUGAUGUGUAUGGAAAUGAAUAAAUAUAGAUUUUAAGAUA
This is a long non-coding RNA of Carya illinoinensis, 664 nucleotides long. RefSeq lists it as uncharacterized. NCBI's taxonomy places the organism in Eukaryota, Viridiplantae, Streptophyta, Magnoliopsida, Fagales, Juglandaceae. The transcript has 2 exons. The record is from RefSeq and is a predicted model, not a curated record.